This is an RNA transcript of Salmo salar (Atlantic salmon), 1804 nucleotides long. It is a transcript of the gene named peroxisomal membrane protein PMP34-like, with no coding region annotated. The record is from RefSeq and is a predicted model, not a curated record. NCBI's taxonomy places the organism in Eukaryota, Metazoa, Chordata, Actinopteri, Salmoniformes, Salmonidae.
AUGACCGUUUUCUUCCCACUUGACACUGCAAGACUACGGCUGCAAGUGGAUGAGAAGAGGAAAGCCAGGUCCACUCCUGCCAUUCUGUCAGAGAUUGUCAAGGAAGAGGGGGUUGGUUGUAUCUGUCCCCCUGCCUGUCCUCUCUGCAGGCUGGCGCCCUACAGGGGCUGGCUCCCAGUGAUCUGCAGUCUCUGCUGCUCCAACUUCGUCUACUUCUACUGCUUCCACAGCCUGAGAGCCAGCUGGCUCUGGGGACACAAGUCAACUCCAAGCAGAGACCUGCUAUUGGGCACCGCUGCAGGUGUAGUGAAUGUGCUUAUGACCACUCCGCUGUGGGUGGUCAACACACUACUCAAGCUUCAGGGGGCAAAGUUCCACAAUGUAGACAUCCUUCCUACUAACUACUCAGGCAUCAUGGAUGCCUUUGUGCAGAUCAUUGACGAAGGGGUGGGGGCCCUGUGGAACGGAACAUUCCCCUCUCUCCUGCUGGUGCUCAACCCGGCUGUCCAGUUCAUGAUCUGAGGGCUUGAAGAGGCAGCUGAGAAGCUUGGUUCACAGAGAGUUGUUGUCUCUUGAGGUCUUUCUGAUUGGUGCCAUAGGCAAAGCAGUGGCCACCACAGUCACAUACCCACUACAGACUGUACAGUCCAUCCUGAGGUUUGGUCAACACACGCAGCACACAGACGGAUCACCAUUGCUGAACAGCCUGAGAAGUGUGAUGCAUCUGCUGAUCAAUAGAGUGAAGAAGUACAGCAUGCUGGGCCUGUUCAAAGGCCUGGAAGCUAAACUCCUACAGACUGUCCUGACCGCUGCCCUCAUGUUCCUGCUCUACGAGAAGAUCGCCAGCAGCACUUUCAGAGUCAUGUGAUUGAAGAGGCCUGCGUUCAGCCACUAGCCUGUCUGUUACAUCAGACAUCCAAUCCCAUAUUGCUCCCUAUCUGUCUCCCCCGUAGCCCUAACCCCUCAAUGUUGGCAUGUCUAAAGGGUCUGGAUAGGUAUACGCAGUGUGGCUAGGGGUAAAUCUUCCACCGUAUUGCUUCCACCUUACAGAUAUGCAAGCGUCAAAAGGUUAGGGCCAAAGGGAGGGGAAGGGAUCGAACUGAGACCAGCUGAGACUGUACCAGAGAUAUUAGAGAAAGGAUGAGAUAGCAGUCCCAUUGGGCAAUGAACGGGAGGAAUGUAUAACGCUUCACCCAGAAGACUGUCGACCAAUCACUUGGUCCACGCGGUGCAUUCUGGGCAACUCUGGGACAAGAAGAGCUCUCCUUCAAACAGUGAAUGGGAGUCAAUUGGGCGCUAGCUCGAAAACCCCAAAUUAGCAUGAAUAACCGAAACCCUUUUCCUAACCUUAAUUCUCCUAAUCUGCUUCGUAAAUUGUCCUAACCUGCUAUGAAAAGCCAAAUCUGACGUUCAUUUGACAAAAGCUGUAUCCCUUCUAGCCAUGACCGAGCUCUCCUUGUCCAAGGUUUUUUGUCUAUUUAUUUUUCUGUAACUGCCAUUUUUGUGGAAGUAGACACCACUUGUUCCUCAGACCUCCUGUGGAUUUCACCAUUUUGUACUUUCUAUGUUCUUCUAAGGUUAGCUGAUUAACAAAAUCCACAAAUUAUUUAGUGAUGCAUUGUUGCUCUUGUCAAAUCCCUGGAAAUGUUUUCAUUGUGUCAUUAACUGUCUCUCUGACAAACGUAUAGAAUAAUUAAGGGAUGUAUUUAAAUGUAUUUUUGUACAGUGCAAUGUCAUGUAUGGAUAAUUCACCAACAUUUCAGAUUCUCAGAAAGGUAGAAAUAAAAUGUUGCUUCUAAAAUAA